This is a long non-coding RNA of Leopardus geoffroyi (Geoffroy's cat), 571 nucleotides long. RefSeq lists it as uncharacterized. The transcript has 2 exons. NCBI's taxonomy places the organism in Eukaryota, Metazoa, Chordata, Mammalia, Carnivora, Felidae. The record is from RefSeq and is a predicted model, not a curated record.
GUGUGACCCGGCUGCCCUGCCCCUCGGAAGCCUCGCUCGCCCUCUGUGUGAACACAGCCUCCCUGGCUCUCGGCAGUCCAGAGACGUUUACCAACCCCCAGGUGACGUAAGAGAAAACCGGCUCAGAAGUCACCCACCCAGGGCAGUCACAAAGCAUGCAGCUGGGAUCUCCCCCUCACUGGGCGACUUCUGGGCCCUGCCCAACCCCACGCUCCACCCACCCCCAUCAGGCCUAGAUUGCAGGAGCACACCGGAGUUCCUUCCCUUCCCUGCCCUAAAACUCCAGACAGGCUUUUUAGAAGCCCAAAAUACAGGGCCGGGCCCAGUGUGUCCCUGGCAGGUCUGGAGUCCACCGCGGAACAGGUGGCCAGCUGCUGGUACUGUGGCCUGCGGCCGGGUCAGCAGCCCAGGAAGAGCACGCGGGGUGCGCCGUUGGGCUAAGUGGGUGCGGGAGGGGGCGGCAGGGCGCGGCUCGCUCUCUGAACAGCAGGGACAGCCACGGCUUCGGUGCUUCCUCUUACUAAACACUGGGGGGCCUGGGUGGCUCAGUCAGCUAAGCGGCCCGACUCUG